Molecule: unclassified non-coding RNA, 309 nt
Filed under: plant metagenome
Description: partial contains 5.8S ribosomal RNA, internal transcribed spacer 2, and large subunit ribosomal RNA
Rfam family: 5.8S ribosomal RNA (bases 1-105)
Source: RNAcentral
GAAAUGCGAUAAGUAGUGUGAAUUGCAGAAUUCAGUGAAUCAUCGAAUCUUUGAACGCACAUUGCGCCCCUCGGUAUUCCGAAGGGCAUGCCUGUUCGAGCGUCAUCUACACCCUCAAGCUCUGCUUGGUGUUGGGCGUCUGUCCCGCCUCCCGCGCGCGGACUCGCCCCAAAUGCAUUGGCGGCGGACCUUGCCUCCCUCCCGCGCAGCACAUUGCGCUUCUCGAGGCGUCGCGGCCCGCGUCCAGCAAGCAACCGUCUACCCGUCUUUGACCUCGGAUCAGGCAGGGAUACCCGCUGAACUUAAGCA